Molecule: long non-coding RNA, 5132 nt
Filed under: Equus caballus (horse)
Lineage: Eukaryota; Metazoa; Chordata; Mammalia; Perissodactyla; Equidae
Description: lncRNA (ENSECAG00000055352.1)
Source: RNAcentral
CAUUUCUAUAUAUUUUUCUUUCCCUGUUAGUUUUUAGUUUUUUUCUGAAAGAUUGCUUCUUUUUAGUCUUUAGAAUAUGCUGGUAAUGGACUCAGGGCUAAAAGUUCAUUUUGUGUGGUUGAAUGGGCUAGUACCUGUAGAAUGACCUUGAGUGAGAAUAAUUUUUCUCAAAUAUAUUUUAACUUUGAUUUUGUAGUAUCAAUUUUCAUCCAAAUUGUCUUCUCUUUUUGAGAGACGUUAGAAGAGCUGCUGAGAGUAGAAGCGUGGUAGAAGUAGGGGAACAAGAAACAUUAAAACAAUUAUGGAAACCCUCCCAUGCCAAACCUUUAUGUAUAAAAUAUAGGAGUAACUAUUGGAAAAAGUUAAACACUUGUAACAAGAACUUGUUUAUAGUGGUCUGAAGGAAGUUAAUUACAACUAAUGGACUGAAUAUGUGAAAAGGAGAUAUUUCUCCCAAGGAGUUCUAUUCACUUUGGCGUAAUCCUCUAAGGAAAUAAUGUUUCGUGUAAAGUGUGAUCUAACCUGAGAAAAAUGACACAAUGUUUGAAUCAGUAAUAACAUCCUGACAAGGUAGGGUAAUAUUUUUUAUAUUAUAUCCCAUUUCUCAUUUCAGUUUCUUACGUGAACUAUGUGUUACUCCUGUUACAGAGAAUGACAGGCAGUGACUACCAUUUAUUGAAUCACCCUUUGUGCUGGUAACUGAACUGUGAGAGUUUGGAUGAUCCUCCUCGGCAGCAGCGGCAGGCAUUGUUAGUUUCAAUAGGAGGCCUGGAUGCACAAGAACAGUCAUCCUAGAGAGCCAGGCUCUCGGGGUCCGUUCCUUCGCACCACGGUGCUGUGUUAGAUCACUUUCUCCUGCUGGAUUAAUGACCAGGAAAAAAGGGUAACAAACUAUACCCAAAGGAAUCCAAUUAAAGUACUUGAACUUCACUCACGUCCAUCCUAUCAUUUUCUUAACUUCCUAACAUAGGCUUAAUUAUUCUGACCAGUAGAAAGGAAUAGCAUGAAUAAGAGAGUUAUCUCAAAAUCCUUAUUUUCUUUAGUUUGAAAGGUUCAAAAUCUUGUUGUAUAAGAUGAAAUAAUAAUCUGUGUUUGGUAUGGUUGAACUUUUUUUGGGUUGUUUUUUCUCUCUCUUCUCUAAUAUCUUCACCAAGGUCACUGCCAGGACUGAUUGUAUGAAACUGCUCAGCCCUUACAAUUUUAUCUCUGUUCACAGUCUACACUGCAGCAUUAGUUCAUUCUGGACUCUUCGGCUUCCUUGAAUUCCCAAUUGAUUCCACUCCCAUGACUGUGAUAUUCUUUUCCUAGUUAAUCAAGAAUUCUCUAUUUCUGCUCUGUCAUCCAUGCCACUGUAAGUGGGAAAGUAGUUUAGGCUUUGGCUCUCAGCCUCAUCAUUUCUGAAAUGACCUCCUCUGAUUCUAAAGUUCUGUGUCUAAAAUACAAACUAGGAUUUCCGGUAAUAAAAACUUAUGUGUGUAUGAUGACUGAUAGUUUUCAGUCUUUUCAUAUGUUUUAUUUUAUAUAAUUCUGACCAUGGUUCUGUGAGAUGGGGGAGAACAGGUUUUAUUGUCUCUUGUUUUCAGAGAAGGAUCCUGCAGCUCAGGGAGAUGAAGUGUCUUACCCACGUCCAAUAAUUAGUAACUGGCUGAACCUGAACUUAAAAUUCAGUUUUUCCCACAUUAAGGUGAUGGUUUCUUCUAGUAGGAAGUUUCUUUCCUAUAGCCUAAAUUUCUUCAUUUAUUAACUAUAAGUUUUGGUGUAUGUGAGUGUGUAUGUUCUUGCUCUGGGAAGGGGCUUCCUUAUGCUUAAAUGAGUUUGGGAUGGAAUUUUGUGACUUUAGUUUUUAUCAGUGAAGGAGUCUCCUAGGAUUUCUAAUUAAGAAAGACAAGGAAUGUGCUACCUUUCUAGUAUGAAUUUUGGUGUUAUUGUAAGCCCCUCUAUCAAAUUUGAUUGCAUUUUUCAAUUAUAAAUCUAUUCUGCCAGAAACCUAAUAUACCUAUUAGAUAAUAUUCUUUGUGAUUAAGGAAGAUAAGAAAAUAGUAGGGGCUGGCCCCAUGGCUGAGUGGUUAAGUUCACGCACUCUGCUUCGGCAGCCCAGGGUUUCGCUGGUUUGGAUCCUGGGCACAGACAUGGCACUGCUCAUCAGGCCAUGCUGAGGCAGCGUCCCACAUGCCACAAUUAGAAGGACCCACAAUUAAAAAUACACAACUAUGUACCGGGGGGCUUUGGGGAGAAGAAGAAGAAGAUAAAAGAAGAUUGGCAACAGUUGUUAGGUCAGGUGCCAAUCUUUAAAAAAAGAAAAGAAAAGAAAAGAAUAGAAGCCCUCUUAGCCAAUCCCUUCUUCAGGCCAAUAGGAUACUCUCUGAAAAAUGGUGCACUUCUGUUUAUCUGUUUACCUGCUGGUAUGCUUACCUAGAGUCAUUUGUAUUUGUUUUCAAAUUUGUUUAUGCCCCUUGAAUGUGCAGUUAUAAUUUAAUUAUGCAAACUGAUGAAAUAUGAGUAGAAAGGUAUAAAGGGUUGUUGAUUUUAUGAAGUUUAAGUUGACUGCUUUGUAAAGACUUUUUAAAGUGAAUCACUAAAACCAAUUACGGUCUAAAUACGUGAAGGCUAGACAACUGUAAGAGAUUGCCUGGGGUAGGGGUAGGGGAUGAAUGUAAAAAUUCUGGAAGGAUCCUGCAUUCAACUUGUUUUGCAAAUCCCUUUAAGCACACACUGACUUUAAAUAAACCAGAAGCUUUAAACUCUCACUGACUUUAAGUAGAUGAUACAUUGUGGUACAGUUUAAGCAAGAAGAAUAAUGUGACUUAGAUGAUCAGGAGUCAACAACAGCUCUUGGUCCUACAUCUAAAGUUUGGUUAAUAGGUGUAAAAUUUUAUGUUUUAACGCUAAAUAUGUUAAAAUUGCUUUAACCAAUAUCUUUCUGUGUCUCAGUAUCCUGUGUAAAAUGAAGAUGAAAAUAAUUUUACCUAACAAGUUUUUUUUUGAGUGUGUGAGGAUUACAUGAGAUAAUAGAACAAAGCCUGGCACGAGUACUAAAAAUGUUAGCCACCGUCAUUGACAUCAUCAUCAUCAUCUGAGAGUAUCUGCUGUAGGGCUUAUGUACAUUUAUAUGAAAAACGUAAUCACCGCUACCAGCUAUUGGUAGCAAGACAUAAUAGUUCUGUUUGGGUUGACAGUGAAACUAUCCAUUUUCACCCACACCCCAUCCUUUUUUCAGGAUUUAUGAGAAGAGGAAGUUUGACUUUACCUUUCUCAGGAAAUGCUGAGACCUGAAAUUGUUCAUGAAGCGUUAGUGAAAGGGCUAGGUGUAGUCUGAGCUGAAGACUGUUAAAAGGGUUGGAAUGUGGAGAGUUGAAGUUGUUUAAGUUUAAGAUACAUUGUUGCUGGACUUGUAUAGAAUGCUUACACUGAGCCUAGAUCUAGCCAAGGUGUUUCUCACUUAAAUGAACACUAAGCUUCACAUAGUUCUCUCGCAAUUGUAAAUAGAGAAAUAAAGGAGAAAAAAAAAUUGUUUUGACAAACAAGUCUGGUAGCUAAACUUGAAUGGCAUGGUAGUGAGAAUACUGAUUGUAAGGCUAGGCAUUGCACUGUAUGCCAUCAAUUCCUAAAUGCUUCCGCAGUGUAGGUUACAAGUUUUCAUUAAUGAACCCACAUUUAGAAACUGCUUUUUGGAGGAGGAUUAAGAUUUUACGUGCUUUCUGUCUGAAUGCUGCCACCCACAUUUCCAUAUCAUUCACAUCCUGUUUUCCUACCUAAGAAUGUGGUCCUCAUAGGAAAGAGGCUCAGACUUCAAGGUCGGAGACAACACCCACUGGACUGAUAGUUUCCUGCUUGAUUUGAAUGUAUAAGGGUUGAUUCAGUGCUGGUCACACUAGAGUGAAUGCUCUAUCAAUGGUUCCUUUUUUGUUGGUAUUAUUCAAAUAAGCGAUACUAUUCUCCUUCUAUAGAUUAUUUACAUAGCACUUCCAGAAUUAUUAAAAAUAAAGCAAGUAGGUAGCAAAGUGGAAUUUAAGACAUUUUCCAGAGUUGAAAAAUUUUUGGAAUGAUAUAAUCUAAAGUUAUUAAGUACCCAUUUAUGUCCUUAAAUAGUACAAGUAUCAUCAUUCAUCGCUUUCUAUGCCUAUUAUGGAAUUUAGGUUUAUUUGUUUUUUAUAUUGCAGUCCAUCCUUACCUGUCAUAAAGCUUUUGGAUAAAAGAAAUAUUGUCUUUCUACUUCAUGGCUCAUUAUAACUUUGGGAUUACCUUAGCUCACACAACAUACAUUUUCCUACCCAUGGAUAUUAUUCAAAUUUCUCUUCUACUCUGUCUUUCCUGUGCAUUCAUUUCAAUCACUAUAUGUCCUAUAAAUUUUGUCUGUCCUCAGCCUUUUGCCCUCAGCUGUGACUUUAUAUAUGUUCCUUUGCUCUUCUGUAUGUCAGCAUUUGUUAACAUGUAUCCCUCUUUCUAACCUACACUUUUAUUCCUUAGUUUGAUUUAAAUUUCACCUAUUUUUUUUCUUUAGCCACACCAUAUCCAUAGAGUUAUUUUAUAUGAGGGCAACAGUGGAACUUAUAAAAACUAGGUAGUAUUCCAGGAAAUAGCAAUCUUUGCCCUGAAGUACAGUAGGCUAGGUAUUCAAGCUUCUACCUAGCGAAGAUCUACCUUUUAUGUCCUUUUGUUAUGCAAGAUAUUUUUAAGGAGGUAGGAUUCAAGAGAAUUUCCUUCUUCAUAUGAAAUUCCUGUCAGUCAAUAUGAUAUUCAGAACCGCUUACUAAGCACCUUUUUAGGCAAAGAAAAGAGCCAGUCUCAGUUUGGGUGUGUUCUGUUCUUGAUUCAUUUCCCUGGGGCCCAGCCUCUUAUAUUUGAAAUUUUAGGUUGUGAAUUAAGGCAUUUCUAUAAACUGGCCUGGGAUGAUGCAUUGCUAAGCUUCAGGUGAUGGGUUCAUACGUCACGAGCAGUGUUUUGCUGUGUCAAUAAAAUUAAGGUAGGAAAGCAAGUUGGCUUCAGUGCCAAAUAGUGGUCAGAAUAUCACGGAACGUGAGGUUGGUGUGGUAGCAGCAGCAUGCAGUUAGGCACACGUGCAUGCACAGUGGUGCUGUUCCUAUUCUGUUUGGAAGGCAGUUUGGACAUCAUUACAAUAAUAUGAAAGGCAG